Molecule: ribosomal RNA, 253 nt
Filed under: uncultured bacterium
Lineage: Bacteria
Description: partial 16S ribosomal RNA
Rfam family: Bacterial small subunit ribosomal RNA
Source: RNAcentral
UACAGAGGGGGCAAGCGUUAUUCGGAAUUAUUGGGCGUAAAGGGCGCGUAGGCGGCUUUGCAAGUGACGGGUGAAAGCCCUCGGCUUAACCGAGGAACUGCCUGUCAGACUGUAAGGCUUGAGACCGGGAGAGGUGAGUGGAAUUCCCAGUGUAGCGGUGAAAUGCGUAGAUAUCAGGAGGAACACCGGUGGCGAAGGCGGGUCUCUGGGCCGAUACUGACGCUGAGGAGCGAAAGCGUGGGGAGCGAACAGG